UACAGAGGUCUCAAGCGUUGUUCGGAUUCAUUGGGCGUAAAGGGAGCGUAGGUGGCGCUGUAAGUCAGGUGUGAAAUCCCGGGGCUCAACCCCGGAACUGCACUUGAUACUGCGGUGCUCGAGUACUGGAGAGGAGAUCGGAAUUUACGGUGUAGCAGUGAAAUGCGUAGAUAUCGUAAGGAAGACAAGUGGCGAAGGCGGAUCUCUGGACAGUUACUGACACUGAGGCUCGAAGGCCAGGGGAGCAAACGGG
RNAcentral lists this ribosomal RNA (253 nucleotides) under uncultured bacterium. RNAcentral's name for it is "partial 16S ribosomal RNA". It matches the Rfam family "Bacterial small subunit ribosomal RNA", at positions 524 to 776 of the family's 1533-position model. The record is from RNAcentral.